RNAcentral lists this ribosomal RNA (176 nucleotides) under Paenibacillus polymyxa. RNAcentral describes it as "partial 23S ribosomal RNA". It matches the Rfam family "Bacterial large subunit ribosomal RNA", at positions 2743 to 2925 of the family's 2925-position model. Lineage: Bacteria; Bacillati; Bacillota; Bacilli; Caryophanales; Paenibacillaceae. The record is from RNAcentral.
GGGUAGCUAUGUACGGAAGGGAUAAGCGCUGAAAGCAUCUAAGCGUGAAGCCCCCCUCAAGAUGAGAUUUCCCAAUUAGUAAGACCCCUUGAAGACGACGAGGUAGAUAGGUUGGGGGUGGAAGUGCAGUAAUGCAUGGAGCUGACCAAUACUAAUCGGUCGAGGGCUUAUCCUAA